CCCUGUGUCCUUGCUGAGCGAUCCUUAAUCUCUCACAUCUUUAAUCAAGGUAUUUUCUUUUGGACUGCUGGAAACGUUUUUCUCAUGUGGAUUAAUUAGAAAUAACGCCUAGCUCUGACAACUGGAUCUGCUGUGAGCUCCAGUCAGGGCACAGGCAGUCCUCUAAGCCAUUCUUCAUGACACUGCUCUUGCUUCUUACUUACUUUUGAACCCUAUUGUUUGGGAGCUGUAGAUUGUGGUCAGUCGUUCUCAGUGGAGUUACAGGCAGAAUUAGUGCAGCUGCGAGAGCAAAGCUAUGUGUGAAACCCCACCUCAUGCUGCUGAAAGCACUGGCCUGAUUCCAAAUGCCCUCGGGCAGCCCCUUUUGUUUCAGGAUUUGCACCUCUGCUCAGCAGGGCUUCCGGCCUUAAAACCUGGUAGUUCGGUUAUUUGGAGUCAUGGUAAUGCUUUCUGCCAUUUGCUCCCUUUCUGUUAGCAGCAGCUGAAUGGCUUGGUCUUUGCAAGGUGUGAAACUAUUGUCUGAAGUCAGUAAAUCAACAUUGGCUAGUUAAUGGCUUUGUUCUGAUCUUCCUCGGGGUGUCUGUUUUAGUUUGAUAAGCCUGUGGGAUCUGCAGAAUUAGGAUGAUCUCUUGGAGCAUAUUCACCCUUGUGUGGAUGACUUCAGAAAAGAAGCCCACGUGUUGGAUAGUCAAAAGAUCAGGCAAAUAUUUCACUCGGUUUGCAACAAAAUAUUAUGAGAAUGUUCUCAGUGGAAUUUAAGCCUUUUUGUGUUGAUUUAAAGGUUUGAAACUACCGGGCUAUGUUUUUCAUGCUGUAUCUCACCCUGUGGCUUGCUGUUUGACCUCUGGAACCUGCAAGAUGAGUUGCAUCACUGUCACUGAAUAACUGCUGUUCCUUGAACUGAAUACAUUAGCACAAUAAAUGUGAUUGCUGGGUA
This is a long non-coding RNA of Neopsephotus bourkii (Bourke's parrot), 937 nucleotides long. RefSeq lists it as uncharacterized. Lineage: Eukaryota; Metazoa; Chordata; Aves; Psittaciformes; Psittacidae. The transcript is spliced from 3 exons. The record is from RefSeq and is a predicted model, not a curated record.